AACACCAUACAGCCAGAGUAUUCCAACAUUUGUUAGACAACACAUCAACCAAAUCAUAAGUAACAGCUCUUACACUUGGUGAUACAACCCUCCCAAAACCUCUAGCAUGAAGCUGUUCACCACUACAUCCACCCUGGUGAUCCUGGUGGUGUUGGGGUUAAGUCUGGAGAUGGUGACCGCUGAGGACUGUGACCUGCCAUCCUGUGCAGUCAUCUCUGGGCAGGAAGUUCGCUGUAAGAACCCUUACGCCUGGUUCGAAUAUCACCCUCACCCAACCAAUCCUAACUUGUACGUACAGUGCACAAGGUAUGGCCCUCAGGUGAUGAGCUGUCCCGAGAGUUUGAUCUGGUCCCAGUCGUCCAGACUGUGCAACUAUGACAAUAAGCCCAUUCCUGAAAACUGUAACUGCAACAACUGCUUCCUGCCAAACCCCGCUGAUGCUACUACCUACUACUGGUGCUUCGAUUCGAACGGUGAUGGAGUAAUAACACCCCACGAGCAAGCCUGCGCCCCCGGCACCACCUAUAAUCAGGCCAUCAAGCGAUGCACUUAAACUGCGCCUCCACCACCAUUUGCGCCACCCAGGAACACCUGGUGGAUAUGAUGACGAUGACUAUCUGGAAGAGCAGCAACAACAAACAACAAAGCAGCAACAACAAACAACAAAGCAGCAACAACAAAAGAACAGGAUUUACUAUUACCAAGAAGGACAACAAAUACAACAACAAUGAACCGCAGUACCGAGUACAGCCAGAACAUCAAAAACUUUAAAUGCCAGCCACAACAACAAUAAAAACAACUACAACAACAGCAAUGGCAACAACUUCAAGAGCAGCAACAACAUCAACAAAAACAUCUACAACAACAACAACAACAGUGGCCAUAACAAAAAUCAAUUUCACUGGAUAAGAAUCAGCUUGACAGUGUACACAACAAUGACUGGCUUGUGUUGACACCCUCCACACACACACCUGCUGCCUCUAUACACACCUGCUCUUACACACAUGCUGUCUCCACACACCUGCUAAUACGUACAUAUUUGUCAAUUUUGCACAGCUUCUGUUCUUAUUAACCCAUGUUGCUCUGCAUUCUCUUAUAAGAACUUGUUUUGAUCAUUCAGUAAAUCAGUUUCAUUUACACUGGAAUUAUGUAAACACUUGUAUAUGGCCGAUUUCUUUCAUCUUACAUAUUAUAUCUAAGGAAUAUAAUUUACAAUUGUCCUUUUUAAUCUUGCAAUCAAGUAAUCCAUUAUAGAAAAUUAUUUACAACUGGCUUUUAAUAGAUUAAAAUGUAAACAAAAAUAUUCAUAAAUGUGCUUUUCUUUCCCAAAUAAAUAUCCAUAAAAAAUAUCA
Molecule: unclassified non-coding RNA, 1352 nt
Filed under: Homarus americanus (American lobster)
Lineage: Eukaryota; Metazoa; Arthropoda; Malacostraca; Decapoda; Nephropidae
Description: uncharacterized LOC121866191, transcript variant X3
Source: RNAcentral